AAAAAUAAACGACACAUCGAUUAUUAAAAAGAGUAAUGGAAAAAACUGAAUGCUGAAUCUAUGCAAUCACCUUCCCAUCUUAAUGUUACAAUGUGUUUUCCCCCCUCUUUGGAGAUUGGGCUCUGUUUUGCAGUCCCCAAAGAUGUUUAUUAAGAAUUGUAUUUAUCUACUUGAUGGACAUUAGUUUCAUAAAUGAAAUUGAGCUUGGGAUUUGGAAAACAUUUGAAGUGCGAGAGAAUCCAAGCAGACUGUGGGAUUGCUUUUGCAACCGUCAGCCUCCAUUUCUCAAGGACAUUUCCUGUAUCAACCCACCGGUAUUGGCUUCGACAUCUCCUCCGCUCCCUUUAUCUUAUACAAUGAGGAGGCGGCCCAGGGAAUCUUUACAUUUCGAGACAACUUCCCUUAAAGUAAAAUGUGUGUGUUAAAGUAAAA
Molecule: long non-coding RNA, 432 nt
Organism: Pantherophis guttatus
Lineage: Eukaryota; Metazoa; Chordata; Lepidosauria; Squamata; Colubridae
Source: RefSeq, a predicted model, not a curated record